CUGGCGGCGUGCCUAAUACAUGCAAGUCGAACGGUCUUUCUAUGGAAGCUUGCUUCCACUGAGAAGAUAGUGGCGAACGGGUGAGUAACACGUGGGUAACCUGCCCAUAAGAGGGGGAUAACAUCCGGAAACGGGUGCUAAUACCGCAUAGUUUUCUUGAUCGCAUGAUUGAGAAAGGAAAGACGGCCUUUGUGCUGUCGCUUAUGGAUGGACCCGCGGCGUAUUAGUUAGUUGGUGAGGUAAUGGCUCACCAAGACGAUGAUACGUAGCCGACCUGAGAGGGUGAUCGGCCACAUUGGGACUGAGACACGGCCCAAACUCCUACGGGAGGCAGCAGUAGGGAAUCUUCCGCAAUGGACGAAAGUCUGACGGAGCAACGCCGCGUGAGUGAAAGAAGGUUUUCGGAUCGUAAAACUCUGUUGUCAGAGAGGAACAAGUUGGAGAGUAACUGCUCCAGCCUUGACGGUAUCUGACCAGAAAGCCACGGCUAACUACGUGCCAGCCGCCGC
RNAcentral lists this ribosomal RNA (509 nucleotides) under uncultured bacterium. Its description in RNAcentral is "bacterial SSU rRNA". It matches the Rfam family "Bacterial small subunit ribosomal RNA", at positions 36 to 518 of the family's 1533-position model. The record is from RNAcentral.